AUUACUAAGGGCGCACGGUGGAUGCCUUGGCAUCAGGAGCCGAUGAAGGACGUGGCAAUCUGCGAUAUGCCUCGGGGAGCCGAUAAGCGGGCUGUGAUCCGAGGAUUUCCGAAUGGGGAAACCCCGUCGUCUGUGAGGGCGAUGACCUGUAUCUGAAUACAUAGGGUGCAGGGGGGAACGCGGGGAAGUGAAACAUCUCAGUACCCGCAGGAAGAGAAAACAACAGUGAUUCCGUGAGUAGUGGCGAGCGAAAGCGGAAGUGGCUAAACCGUCUGUGUGUGAUACCCGGCAGGGGUUGCAUGGGCGGGGUUGUGGGAGCAUCAGUGCCCGGUCUGCCGGCUGGGUCGUGUGAGUGCAGCGUGAUAGUCGAAUCAUCUUGAGUGGUGUGCCGUAGAGGGUGUGAGUCCCGUAGACGAAAUCAUUGUUGCCGCGCGUGGUGUUUCCCGAGUAGCACGGAGCCCGUGAAACUUCGUGUGAAUCUGCCAGGACCACCUGGUAAGCCUAAAUACUCCCUGAUGACCGAUAGCGGACCAGUACCGUGAGGGAAAGGUGAAAAGUACCCCGGGAGGGGAGUGAAAUAGAUCCUGAAACCGCAUGCAUACAAGCAGUAGGAGCACCUUCGUGGUGUGACUGCGUACCUUUUGUAUAAUGGGUCAACGACUUGGUCUGUCUAGCAAGCUUAAGCCGUUAGGUGUAGGCGCAGCGAAAGCGAGUCUUAAAUGGGCGAAUGAGUUAGACGGAUCAGACCCGAAACCGAGUGAUCUAGGCAUGAGCAGGAUGAAGGUACGGUAACACGUACUGGAGGUCCGAACCCACACCUGUUGAAAAAGGUCGGGAUGACUUGUGCCUAGGGGUGAAAGGCCAAUCAAACUCGGAGAUAGCUGGUUCUCCGCGAAAGCUAUUUAGGUAGCGCCUCGGACGAAUACCAUAUGGGGUAGAGCACUGUUUCGGCUAGGGGGUCAUCCCGACUUACCAAACCGAUGCAAACUCCGAAUACCAGCAAGUGUCAGCACGGGAGACACAC
This 1024-nucleotide ribosomal RNA is filed under the name Grammatophora oceanica. RNAcentral describes it as "partial Bacterial large subunit ribosomal RNA". It matches the Rfam family "Bacterial large subunit ribosomal RNA", at positions 1 to 989 of the family's 2925-position model. The record is from RNAcentral. Lineage: Eukaryota; Bacillariophyta; Fragilariophyceae; Rhabdonematales; Grammatophoraceae.